This 402-nucleotide ribosomal RNA is filed under the name uncultured bacterium. RNAcentral's name for it is "bacterial SSU rRNA". It matches the Rfam family "Bacterial small subunit ribosomal RNA", at positions 355 to 774 of the family's 1533-position model. The record is from RNAcentral.
UGGGGAAUAUUGGACAAUGGGCGCAAGCCUGAUCCAGCCAUGCCGCGUGAGUGACGAAGGCCUUAGGGUUGUAAAGCUCUUUUGGCGGGGAAGAUAAUGACGGUACCCGCAGAAUAAGCUCCGGCUAACUUCGUGCCAGCAGCCGCGGUAAUACGAAGGGAGCUAGCGUUGUUCGGAAUCACUGGGCGUAAAGCGCACGUAGGCGGACUUUCAAGUCAGGGGUGAAAUCCCGGGGCUCAACCUCGGAACUGCCUUUGAUACUGUUGGUCUCGAGUCCGGAAGAGGUGAGUAGAAUUCCUAGUGUAGAGGUGAAAGUCGUAGAUAUUAGGAAGAACACCGGUGGCGAAGGCGGCUCACUGGUCCGGUACUGACGCUGAGGUGCGAAAGCGUGGGGAGCAAACA